RNAcentral lists this ribosomal RNA (1345 nucleotides) under Raorchestes bobingeri. RNAcentral's name for it is "partial 16S rRNA". It matches the Rfam family "Bacterial large subunit ribosomal RNA", at positions 157 to 2557 of the family's 2925-position model. The record is from RNAcentral. Lineage: Eukaryota; Metazoa; Chordata; Amphibia; Anura; Rhacophoridae.
GCCAAAUAUCUAGCCUAAAUAUUAUACAUGUCCAAUCCCCCCACCUUAGCAAAAAUAAAACAUUUUAUCUUUUAAGUAGAGGUGAUCGAAAAAUAUUUAAGCGCUUAAGAGACAGUACCGCAAGGGAAAGAUGAAAUAAAAAUGAAAUAACCUUAAGCCUUUAAAAGCAGAGAUUAAAACUCGUACCUUUUGCAUAAUGAUCUAGCUAGUCUUAUCAAGCAAAACGAAACUUUAGUUUGACCCCCCGAAACUAAGCGAGCUACUUCAAAACAGCCUAAAGAGCUAACCCGUCUCUGUAGCAAUAGAGUGGGAAGAUUUUCAAGUAGAAGUGAUAAACCUACCGAGCUUAGAGAUAGCUGGUUAUUCAGGAAAAGAAUUUUAGUUCUACUUUAAGUCCUAUAGUAAAUUAUAAUAUAACUUAAAAGUUAUUCAAUUAGGGUACAGCUUAAUUGAAAAAGGAAACAACCUAAAUAUUAGGGUAAGCAACAAGUAUUUCAAAAAGUGGGCCUAAAAGCAGCCACCUUUAAAAAAGCGUUAAAGCUUAGCUCAGAUAUCUAACAAAUUUUAUUAACAAAUACGAACCCCUCCUCCCUACUGAAUGACCCUAUAAUAAUAUAGAACUCACCAUGCUAGAACUAGUAACAUGAAUAUAUUCUCCGAAAUGUAAGCUUAAACCAAAAUGGAACUUCCACUGGUAACUAACGAAUAUGAACAAAUUACAGUAACAUAUCAAGAAAACCCUGUUAAAGCACCCGUUAACCUUACACUAGAACACUUCCGGAAGAUUAAAAGAGAGAGAAGGAACUCGGCAAACUUUGACCCCGCCUGUUUACCAAAAACAUCGCCUCUUGAUAACAUAAGAGGUCCUGCCUGCCCGGUGAUAAUAUUUAACGGCCGCGGUACCCUGACCGCGCGAAGGUAGCAUAAUCACUUGUUCUUUAAAUAGGGACUCGUAUCAACGGCAUCACGAGGGUUGCACUGUCUCCCCCCUCCAAUCAGUGAAACUGAUCUCCCCAUGAAAAAGCGGGGAUAAUAAUAUAAGACGAGAAGACCCCAUGGAGCUUUAAACCCAAUAGCAAAUUAGCAAGAUUUACUCCAAGCCAUAAAAUUAUGCUAACGGCUUUAGGUUGGGGCGACCACGGAGUAAAAAUUAACCUCCACAACGAAAAGACUUAAAUCUUUACCCAAGAGCUACCACUCCAAGAAUUAGUAAACUAACGAAUUGACCCGAUAUCGAUCAAUGAACCAAGUUACCCUGGGGAUAACAGCGCAAUCUACUUCGAGAGUUCAUAUCGACAAGUAGGCUUACGACCUCGAUGUUGGAUCAGGAUAUCCCAGUGGUGCA